Molecule: long non-coding RNA, 506 nt
Filed under: Nicotiana benthamiana
Lineage: Eukaryota; Viridiplantae; Streptophyta; Magnoliopsida; Solanales; Solanaceae
Description: long non-coding RNA (NBEN_LNC020772)
Source: RNAcentral
UAUGGUUGUGUGUAAGUGUUUUACAGCGGGAUGGAGAUGAGUGUCAUAUUUUCGUGACAGAAUGGAAGAGAGAAGAUCGGCUACUGCUGUGUGUGCGAUCCGCGACUGGUUAAGAGGAUGACUGAGAGUCGCGAUAUGAAGAAGCAGCAGCGGCUACUUGUGACGAGGUUCGUUCAUAGGGGUGUUCGGACGGUUUUAUAAAGAUGAAGGAGAGAAAGUUGAUGGGUGUUCUUUGGUUGUUGAAGAAAGAAGAUGAAAAAGCUUAAAGUUUCUUUGUCCAAAACCCGAAGAAGAAGCAAAAUAGGAGGUCGUUUCUUCAGGUCUUCGAUAGCCUCGCUUCAGUCCGACAUGAAGAGGACGAAAUCAAAAGGGGGGAAUGGCCUGUGUUGUAUAUUCGACUGCUUAGGGGUCUUGAAGCUUAGUGAGAAGUGGACCUUGCUUCUUCAACUGAAGAAGAACUAGUCACGUUGGGAGUGGGUCGUUUUUUGUGCACUGUUGCGGCUGCU